Molecule: long non-coding RNA, 915 nt
Filed under: Ananas comosus (pineapple)
Lineage: Eukaryota; Viridiplantae; Streptophyta; Magnoliopsida; Poales; Bromeliaceae
Description: long non-coding RNA (ACOM_LNC018732)
Source: RNAcentral
ACUUUGAUCUAAUGGUUAAAAUUUUACAUAUAAAUGAAUUUUUUUAUAAUUGAGCUUGGCUUUAUUAUUUUUUUGCCAAAAAUUAAAUAAUAAAAAUAUAUAUAUUACGUAUAAUUAUUUAUUUACAUAUAUAAAUAUAUAUAAAUAAAAAUUAAAUAAAUUAUAUAUAUAUAUAAAUAUAAAAUAUAUGUAUUCGAUGUGUUAUCGAGUGGUACACGAACGAGUUGAGCUCGGCUCCUGUUCAGCUCGUGUUCGGCUUGUUUACUAAACGAGCGAUUCGACCUCGAGCUCAUUUCGAGCCGAACACGAACUGGCUCGCGAGUAGCAAGCUGAAUUGCGGCCACCUGCAAAUAUGUCACAACCUGUAAUUUACUUAUAUCAUCAUGAAAGAUCAAUCAACUAAUUUAUAACAUUCCAAUAUCAUCAAUCACUUUUUUCAGUGGUUGCAUGAUGAGCGACUAAUGAUUAAUCUUGAGAAAAAGGGCCAAAAAAGAAAAAAGAAAAAAAGUUGCAUGUCGGUUUAAAUUGGGUCACACACGAGUCGAGCUCAAGUGUCCAACAGGUCCAUGUUAAACCUAUGAUCAAUUGUACGGCUCACAUUGAUUCAAAAUUAUAAAUUUAUUUUUUUACUUUUUUUUUCAAGUUUUUGACAUCUUCGAUUUAAGAAGAUGACAUAUUUUAUAUAAAAAAUAAUUUUAAAAUAGAAUAUUGUAUGUCAAUUGAGACAUUUAAUCACGCUUUUCACAUACUAAAUACUACAAAAAUUGGUUAGUAAAUUUAAAAAAUAUAUAUUAAAUAAGAUAUUCAUGCAUUCGAAUAAAAUCUUAAACAGUUGAUUAAUCGAAUCUUCAACCUUACAACUAGUGAUUCAAAAAGAAAUUCACAAGGAACAAGUAGAAAGAUAAUUACAUAAUA